GUGGGGAAUCUUGCGCAAUGGGCGAAAGCCUGACGCAGCCAUGCCGCGUGAAUGAUGAAGGUCUUAGGAUUGUAAAAUUCUUUCACCGGGGACGAUAAUGACGGUACCCGGAGAAGAAGCUCCGGCUAACUUCGUGCCAGCAGCCGCGGUAAUACGAAGGGGGCUAGCGUUGCUCGGAAUUACUGGGCGUAAAGGGCGCGUAGGCGGACAGCUUAGUCAGAGGUGAAAGCCCAGGGCUCAACCUUGGAAUUGCCUUUGAUACUGGCUGUCUUGAGUUUGGGAGAGGUGAGUGGAACUCCGAGUGUAGAGGUGAAAUUCAUAGAUAUUCGGAGGAACACCAGUGGCGAAGGCGGCUCACUGGCUCGAUACUGACGCUGAGGUGCGAAAGCGUGGGGAGCAAACAGGAUUAGAAACCCGGGUAGUCC
Molecule: ribosomal RNA, 425 nt
Filed under: uncultured bacterium
Lineage: Bacteria
Description: partial 16S ribosomal RNA
Rfam family: Bacterial small subunit ribosomal RNA
Source: RNAcentral